Molecule: ribosomal RNA, 253 nt
Filed under: uncultured bacterium
Lineage: Bacteria
Description: partial 16S ribosomal RNA
Rfam family: Bacterial small subunit ribosomal RNA
Source: RNAcentral
UACGUAGGGUGCAAGCGUUGUCCGGAUUUAUUGGGUUUAAAGGGUGCGUAGGCGGAAGCUUAAGUCUUGGGUGAAAUCCCACCGCUCAACGGUGGAACUGCCUGAGAAACUGGGUUUCUUGAGUAUAGUUGAGGUAGCUGGAAUUGGUGGUGUAGCGGUGAAAUGCAUAGAUACCACCAGGAACACCUAUUGCGAAGGCAGGCUACUAAGCUAUAACUGACGCUGAGGCACGAAAGCGUGGGGAGCGAACAGG